Molecule: ribosomal RNA, 705 nt
Filed under: uncultured Bacteroidales bacterium
Lineage: Bacteria; Pseudomonadati; Bacteroidota; Bacteroidia; Bacteroidales
Description: bacterial SSU rRNA
Rfam family: Bacterial small subunit ribosomal RNA
Source: RNAcentral
AGGCUUAACACAUGCAAGUCGAGGGGCAGCAUUCCAGUUUGCUUGCAAACUGGAGAUGGCGACCGGCGCACGGGUGAGUAACACGUAUCCAACCUGCCGAUAACUCGGGGAUAGCCUUUCGAAAGAAAGAUUAAUACCCGAUGGCAUAAUAGAACCGCAUGGUUUGAUUAUUAAAGAAUUUCGGUUAUCGAUGGGGAUGCGUUCCAUUAGGCAGUUGGUGGGGUAACGGCCCACCAAACCUUCGAUGGAUAGGGGUUCUGAGAGGAAGGUCCCCCACAUUGGAACUGAGACACGGUCCAAACUCCUACGGGAGGCAGCAGUGAGGAAUAUUGGUCAAUGGACGAGAGUCUGAACCAGCCAAGUAGCGUGAAGGAUGACUGCCCUAUGGGUUGUAAACUUCUUUUAUAUGGGAAUAAAGUGGUCCACGUGUGGAUUUUUGUAUGUACCAUAUGAAUAAGGAUCGGCUAACUCCGUGCCAGCAGCCGCGGUAAUACGGAGGAUCCGAGCGUUAUCCGGAUUUAUUGGGUUUAAAGGGAGCGUAGGUGGACAGUUAAGUCAGUUGUGAAAGUUUGCGGCUCAACCGUAAAAUUGCAGUUGAUACUGGCUGUCUUGAGUACAGUAGAGGUGGGCGGAAUUCGUGGUGUAGCGGUGAAUGCUUAGAUAUCACGAAGAACUCCGAUUGCGAAGGCAGCUCACUGGACUGCA